This 1587-nucleotide ribosomal RNA is filed under the name Triticum aestivum (bread wheat). RNAcentral's name for it is "partial small subunit ribosomal RNA". Lineage: Eukaryota; Viridiplantae; Streptophyta; Magnoliopsida; Poales; Poaceae. The record is from RNAcentral.
AUGGAUGCUGAACCCGAGCAUGCAUCCCCUCCGGCUCCGGGCCAGCACACUCAAGUGGCAUCGACCACCGAUUUUUACAACCUUCGCAACGUCGAUGACGCCGCAAAGGCACGGAAGAAAGAAGAGCGGAGGGCGAGAGAGGAGCACAUCCAAAACAAACGCCUACGCAUCCAAAACAGACGCCUAAGGAGGCAAUGUAAGAUAAAGGAGGCUCAAGAAGUUGUGGACAGGGCAUUCAAGCUGAGAGAAGAGAUGCUUCAGAAGAGGCUCGCAUAUGAGGCGUCGACGGAGGGCAAGGAGGAGGCGGAGAAAUACCACAGCUCCCCUCCCUGGAGCUGGAGGCCGGCAGUUCCCAUUACUGAGGUCACUAACCAGUCACCAGCUUUUGAAUGGGUUCCGUACUUUGACGUUGAUGAGUUCGGGAGAGAAUCUGUGCUCAAGUGCGCAAGUUGGAGCGUCGAGGAAUUCACACUGGAACUUGCUCAAUGUGUGGUUGGCCUUCAGUCAUUUAUAGAAGACAGGAUUUUUUUCUCUUGCUCUGGAACAGUUGUUGAGUUUCUAGAGGGUGUUGGUCAUGUGGUAACAUCUGCUAGUUUAGUUAAAUUGCCACACCAAGAUGAGAUAGCUGAUAAACUCAAGAUCAAUGUAUUCCUAGCAAGUGGAGAAAUACUCGAGGGCUCAGUAUCAAAUGUGGACUUUUGUUACAACAUAUGUGUGAUGGAAGUUCGUUCAACUUCAAUGCUGGCGACGAAAAAGUUCACUGCGGACAGUAGAAUCUUCAAUUUUAAAGAGUGCCAUUCAAAAGAUGUUGUAGCUUUAGGCCGCCUUUGUGAGCCGUGGAGCUUGAACGUUGCUUCGGGAAAGCUAAUCCCAAGAAGAAGCGAGCUUGAUUGUGAAGAACUUGUUGUUUCGUCUUGCAGGAUUUCAAAGAGAGGUAUUGGGGGUCCUCUGAUGGAUUUUGAUGGAAAUGUCAUCGGAAUGAACUUCUAUGACAGGAAAGAAACCCCUUGCAUUCCAGGUUUCAUUGUGUUGAAGUGUUUGCAGCACUUCAAUGAUUUCGGGACAGUCAUACGACCAUUGCAUGGACUGAGAGUUAAGACUCUUCACGAAGCACAGCUUACUGUACUUGAGAAGAUACAUCAUGCUUUCCCUGAGAUCUGUGGUGUGAUAGUGGAUAAGGUAGAAGUACCUUCACCUGAACACUCCGAGAUAAAGGUUGGGGACAUCAUCACUCAUGUUAAUGGCAUACCUUUCUCCAGUGCUGCAGAGUUUGGUGGUAUACUGCUUGAUACGUGUGGUCAGCAUAUGCUAGAGAGACAGAAAUUGGGCCAACCGGAGGACUAUAACCAGAUGUCAACAGUGAUAAGCCUAAAGUUCGACGUGAAAACACAGAGAGGCCGCAAAUGGGAAAAGACAACCAGAACAAUCAACGUCGACAAGUUUACUCCUAGUGGAAAGCUAAACAGGUGGCCACUUGGGAGAGCUUAUCUUCUUCGCCGUAUUGAGAAUGGAAUCCUUUACACGAAGAGCGAUAUGGCUAACAGCGAAACUCUUUGUUUCGUCCAUUUGAGUAGAAUUAAUUCGUAA